Molecule: long non-coding RNA, 1413 nt
Organism: Homo sapiens (human)
Lineage: Eukaryota; Metazoa; Chordata; Mammalia; Primates; Hominidae
Source: Ensembl
AGUGCCAUCGCCAUGACUGAGGUGGGGGUUGGCAAGCUUCUGAUUAGGGAUCUGAGACCCGCAGUAUGGCAGUGACAAGAUCCAAGUCUUGGGACACCUAGCCAGGAGGGAAGAAUUUGAGGGAGAGGUGGAAAAUAUGCGAGGCUGAACUGACCUUCAAGGACAAGAAGGCUGUGUUCAGAUAGACAGAGUUUGUCUUCUGGGAGAGGAGUGGGCUUAUCCAGGAUGAUCCCAAAGGCAGAUUGAGGACCAGUGGGAGGACAUCCUGAGAAAGCAGAUCCAGCUUUAGGCAAGGAAGGACUUCGUAACAGGCAGAGAGCCCAUGUUGGAAACAAGCAGCUCUGCAAGGUGUGGGCCCACUGUCUGACUCCCUGCGGGGCUGCUGCCUUGGAAGAGCCUCCUGCUUAGAGAGGUUCUCCUGCCGCCAGCUGUCUCUCCUGAGUCCUGAGCACCACAUCUCUGGACCGUCUGGAGCCUCCCCUCCCUUGGCUUACUGCUCCCACCACCCUCUCUCUCCACCUUGCAAGAGACACUCUCCCUCAUCCUGGGUCAUCACCCUCUUUAGAGGCGCCGCCUGGCCACGAGGCAUCAGAUGGAGUGCAGCCGGGAGCAAGAUUCUCAUAGCAAUUACAAAGAUUCACAAGAAAAUGUGCCCUCCACUACACAGCUGUAAUUUACAUGCUUUCAAACUUGAUAUGGAAUGACUGUGGUUUCCCCUGAAAGAAGCAUCACUGAUCUCUGCACAGGAGAAACAAGGAUCUUGCUCUGUCACCUAGGCUGGAGUGCAAUGGCACACUCACGGCUCACUGCAGCGUCAAACUCCCAGGCUCAAGUGUUCCUCCUACCUCAGCCUCCUGAGUAGCUAGGACCACAGCACAGGCCCAGACACAAAGCAGAUGUGCAGUGGAGUGUGAAAGAGGCAGCCAACUCACUGGGGAGCUUCAGAGGGAGAUGGCCCAAAUUGCUGGGGCCUAAGAAUCUCCCGGAAUGAAGGAACAGUAGAAAGAACUGGAAGCCAAAUAUGGUGAUAGAGACUCUCAUCAAGGACACUGAGUAAACCAGAAACCUGCUUGGGCUCACGUUCCUUGUCUCUUCUUCUCAGAUCCAGGAAAGGAGCUGUCCAGGACAAUGAGGAUAGGCUGAGGAAAGACAGGCCACGGCCUUGCCUCUGUGCCAGCUCUCAUGGGCCAGGCAGAGUAUCCCAGGACAACUGCCUCCACAACCAGCUCCAUCCUUCAUCAGCAAUUCAGUACCUGAUUAACAAAUCUGUACCCCAGGAGGUUAUGCCAAGUCCAACUUCUUCCAGAGACCACAACAAUAAAUCCAAGCCACUGCUAAUGUCAUUUAUAAGCUGUGGGAUUAAAACAGAGAAGCAAUCAAUUAAUUAAAAUUAGCUCUUUAUUGAAACUAUAA